Molecule: ribosomal RNA, 424 nt
Filed under: uncultured archaeon
Lineage: Archaea
Description: bacterial SSU rRNA
Rfam family: Archaeal small subunit ribosomal RNA
Source: RNAcentral
CCUACGGGGUGCAGCAGGCGCGAAAACUUUACACUGCGGGAAACCGAGACAAGGGGACACCGCGUGCAUGCAUACAAUGCUGGCUGUCCAAAUGUGUAAAUAGCAUGUGAUCGCAAGGGCCGGGCAAGACCGGUGCCAGCCGCCGCGGUAACACCGGCGGCCCGAGUGGUAAUCACUAUUAUUGGGUCUAAAGGGUCCGUAGCCGGUUUAAUCAGUCUUCCGGGAAAUCUGACAGCUCAACUGUUAGGCUCCCGGGGGAUACUGUUAGACUUGGGACCGGGAGAGGUAAGAGGUACUACAGGGGUAGGAGUGAAUCCUUGUAAUCCCUGUGGGACCACCAGUGGCGAAGGCGUCUUACCAGAACGGGUCCGACGGUGAGGGACGAAAGCUGGGGGCACGAACCGGAUUAGAUACCCCAGUAGUC